GAUCCUGGCUCAGGAUGAACGCUGGCGGCGUGCCUAACACAUGCAAGUCGAACGGACUGCUAUAAACGGAGAUUCGUCAAAGUUAGUAGUAAGUUAGUGGCGGACGGGUGAGUAACGCGUGGGUAACCUGCCUCAUAGAGGGGGAUAACGAUUGGAAACGAUCGCUAAUACCGCAUAAGCCCACAGUACCGCAUGGUACAGAGGGAAAAGAUUUCAUCGCUAUGAGAUGGACCCGCGUCAGA
Molecule: ribosomal RNA, 242 nt
Filed under: uncultured bacterium
Lineage: Bacteria
Description: partial 16S ribosomal RNA
Rfam family: Bacterial small subunit ribosomal RNA
Source: RNAcentral